RNAcentral lists this ribosomal RNA (406 nucleotides) under uncultured Neisseriaceae bacterium. RNAcentral describes it as "bacterial SSU rRNA". It matches the Rfam family "Bacterial small subunit ribosomal RNA", at positions 378 to 776 of the family's 1533-position model. The record is from RNAcentral. Lineage: Bacteria; Pseudomonadati; Pseudomonadota; Betaproteobacteria; Neisseriales; Neisseriaceae.
CAACCCUGAUCCAGCCAUGCCGCGUGUGCGAAGAAGGCCUUCGGGUUGUAAAGGACUUUUGUUAGGGAAGAAAAGGGAAGUGCUAAUACCACUUUUUGCUGACGGUACCUAAAGGAUAAGCACCGGCUAACUACGUGCCAGCAGCCGCGGUAAUACGUAGGGUGCGAGCGUUAAUCGGAAUUACUGGGCGUAAAGCGAGCGCAGACGGUUACUUAAGCAGGAUGUGAAAUCCCCGGGCUCAACCUGGGAACUGCGUUCUGAACUGGGUAGCUAGAGUAUGUCAGAGGGGGGUAGAAUUCCAUGUGUAGCAGUGAAAUGCGUAGAGAUGUGGAGGAAUACCGAUGGCGAAGGCAGCCCCCUGGGAUAAUACUGACGUUCAUGCUCGAAAGCGUGGGUAGCAAACAGG